This is an RNA transcript of Crotalus tigris (Tiger rattlesnake), 6233 nucleotides long. It is a transcript of the gene named solute carrier family 35 member A5, with no coding region annotated. NCBI's taxonomy places the organism in Eukaryota, Metazoa, Chordata, Lepidosauria, Squamata, Viperidae. The record is from RefSeq and is a predicted model, not a curated record. The transcript is spliced from 9 exons.
GCAUCAUGGGACAAAGGAGGCGGUUGGCAGGUGCCGGCUCUCCUUCUCAACUCUGCGCGUGCGUGCCUGAGUGACAGGUAGACUAAGGCUGGGGCGAUGCCGGGAGAGAACCCGCAACUGUCAGUUGCUUUCCUGUUUGGACUCACUUGAAGAGCAAGCAUGUAAUACUUUUGAAAUCUGGGACACUGACAACAUAGCAACAGCAUGGAUUCCAAAUGUUGCAGUCAGUCUGCUCGAUGGUCCAAGUCAGCUGUUUAUACACUGCUCCUAGGAGGUACCUUUGUAACACUGGGUUCAAGUCGUAUUCUUUUGAUGAAAUACUCUGCCAAUGAAGAUAAUAAGUAUGAUUAUCUUCCUGCAACUGUGAAUGUGUGCUCAGAAUUAGUUAAGCUUGUACUUUGUUUGAUAAUGGCUCUCUGGGUAAUCAGAAGAGGAGGACAUUCCCAUAGUGGAUUUGGCUGCAGCUCUUGGAGGCAAUUGUAUAGCUACAUAAAGUGGUCAAUUCCAGCUUUUCUUUAUUUUUUAGAUAAUUUGAUUGUCUUCUAUGUAUUAUCCUAUCUUGAACCAGCCAUGGCUGUUCUGUUCUCAAAUUUUGUUAUUAUAACAACAGCUCUUCUGUUCAGAAUAGUGCUGAAGCGGCAGGUCUCCUGGGUGCAAUGGGCUUCUUUGCUGAUUCUGUUCCUAUCUAUUGUAGCUCUGACUGCAGGGACAGGAAGCAAUAAGCAUAGCUUGGCUGUGCAUGGAUUUCAUCAUGACAUUUUUCUCAGCCAUUCAAACAGUUGCCUGCAGUAUACCAAGUCAGAAGAAGAAUGUUGGGGAAAAGAGAACUGCACUCUUAGAUGGUCCUUUCCUGGCUUUAGCUGGAAUGUCACAACUACUGCAGGUCCCAUGAAAACAGUUCGUCUUGGACUGGGACAUCUGCUCAUAUUAGUACAAUGUUUUAUUUCAGCCUUAGCCAACAUCUACAAUGAAAAAAUACUGAAAGAAGGAGGCCAAUUCAGUGAAAACAUCUUCGUGCAGAAUACCAAACUGUACCUCUUUGGAGCUAUGUUCAAUGCACUGAUGCUAAGCCUGCGCCCUGAAAACAGGCGCCAGAUAGAGUAUUGUGGUUUUUUCUAUGGUCACAACGUAUUCUCAGUGGCCCUUAUUUUUGUCACUGCCUUCCUUGGGCUCUCCGUGGCCUUCAUUCUGAAGUUCCGAGACAACAUGUUUCAUGUUUUGACUGCACAAGUUACAACUGUGAUCAUCACCACAGUGUCAGUUUUUGUAUUUGACUUUAAGCCUUCCAUGGAGUUCUUCUUGGAAGCACCUGUAGUUCUUUUGUCUAUAUUUAUCUAUCACUCCAGCAGCCCUCGUUGCACAGAAUACACUGUGCAGUGGGAGAGGGGCAAACAUAAUGGAGGUGCAUGGCAGCGCUCUAGUGGGGAUGGAGAAGAACUUGAGAGACUCACCAAACCAGGCAGUGAUCAUGAUUCAGAUGAGGAGGCCUUAUAGCAAAUGGUGGUCACAACUAAAAUUUGGGGGAGAUUGCCUGGACAUUCAUGCCAAGUAGAUAAUGGGAGGAGGGCUUUGCAAAUUCACAAAAUAUCUCCUAUGAGUAACAUAAUCAGGCAUAUUUCUGUUCCAACUCUAGUUGGAAGGCUCUUUCCCAGCAUAGCAUGUGAGGAGAGGAAACUUUUUCACAGUGGAAGUGGUGGAAAUCUCUUAAAUGUUUUCACUAAGGUGGGAUAUUUUUUUUUAAAGUCAAGUUCUGCUAGAUGAUAUUUUAACUACUAACCAAACAGGAUAUUAAGGUGGGAUUAGAAAAAUCAGUGAAGGUUGUAAUUUCUCCUAGUCCUCAUAACUAUGCACUACUAAUGGUGUUCAAAACCAUACGCCUUUGAGUAUUAAAUGCGAUUAGAAUUUUGAGGAGAUCUAGAUAUUUUUGCCAAAUGGCAGGAGAGUUUGCCUAUUUACAAAUUACUAUUCACAUAAUGGGUCAUAAAGCACAUUUACUGGAAUGCUAUCAAUAUAUUAAUUGAUGGGAAUUAUUGAGGGGCAAUCACUGUCCUUUUCUUCUAGUAGACUUCCCAUAGGCAACUAGUUGGUCAUUGUUGAAAAUACGAUACUGGAGUAAAUUGAGUUUUUAUGUGAUCCAGCAGAACUGCUCAUGUUUCUGUGUAUUUGAUCUUCUAAAAUGAAGAUUUAUUUUUGCAGCAAGAGUCAUUGGAAUGCAGAAGAUUUGGAUGCAGAAGGAAAGCAUCAUUUUGAACCAUGUAUUUUGAGACAGUUGGUUAAAAUAAAGAGACUGGAGUGCUAAUGCUGACCAAGAUAUCUCAGUUUAAAGAUGAUGUGAAAGAAGAAUUUAUUGAUGGAAUUAUGAAAGCUAUCACUUUAUGGAAAUUCAGAAGCACAGUCCUCAAAAUAUUAUUGCAUACCACAAAUACAGAGAUUACAUGGUAACAUUUUCUUAUGUGUAAGAUGUGCUUUAUUCUUUAAGUUUUGGAAAAUAUUGUUGCCAUCAUGUGUUGUAUGCCUCGAGUAUCAUAUAAAUCAUUUAUUUUUAUAUGACUACCCCUGUGAUACUCAGUGUUAAAAUCUGCAUGUGUUUGAGCCAUUUUGCAUAUUUCCAUACAAUUUGGGUACUAUUUUUAGUUCAUGAAAAUAGAUGAAUUAUGUAUUUAAGCAUAAAAUUUAAGGUUACUUCUUUCAAAAUAUACCAACAGGAUCAUCCUUUCAGGAUAAAGCAAAACAGGAUCCAGAAAGUUAUGGUAUUCCAAAUAUUUGUUCAUUCUUAGCUGGUGUAGCUAAAGCAGGGGUGUCAAACUGCUGACCCGUGGACCAGUUGCAUCAUAUGGAGGCCAUGCCCACCCCACCUCCAGCAAUACUUUGUGAGGCGUCGUAUGAUGUGGCAAGUUUGACACACGUGAGCUAAAGGGAUGAAGGGAAUUGCACUCUUAACAUCUGGGGUUGAGUGAUAAAGGUUUCUACGCCUAGUGUAAACCAUGUAAUACUGGAUAACGCUGCACUUAACCUUUUACAUGCCAUAUGAUCAUGUUCACAAGCUAUGCGUUUCAAGUGAAUUGUUACUUUCCUGGUGAAUAAUUAAUGUGCAACUAUGUCAGCACAACUUAAAAACAAGAAUGAGCAGUCCAAAAAUCUACCCAGAAAUGGAGUUUGAGAAGACCGGAGAGAUCACCACAUCCAUGGGGAAAUGUGCUAAAUUCCAAGAUCUGUUUAAACCACUUUCCGUAUUCAUGCCUUUAUAAAUAUUAAAUUAAUCAUGUCAUGGUAUGUGGUUUUGUUCAUUUUUAUAUAGCAGUAAAAUUUGUUCUCAUGAAAGGGAUUUCAAGAGAUUAUUCUAAUAAAAUGUUCUCAUUAUUCAAUUACACUCAUUCCUAAACAGUUUCCUAAACAGAAAAUAAUUCAAGUAUAUUAUUCUCCUGUCUUUAACUCUCAAAGAAAAACACAGACAUGCUACAAAAUGACUGUAUUUCCAUGCCAUAAUACCAGUAGCUGUAAGCUGUGUUGUUUUUUUAACCUAAACAAAUUAAAGGUUCUCAUAUACAAAUCUUUUGUUUUUGUGUAUGAAAAUUUAUUUACAUGCCACAAUUGGCCAUGAUCACACACUGCACUCAGUCAUGAUUCAUACAAAAUGUUAAUCCACUUCUAACCAAGUUACGUGGUUUAUGUAAUGUAUGGACUCAGCUUUUCCCUUCAUUGUUUAUUGAAUUAGCCAGAAAAAAAGCUGGCUUCACUCUGUUGCCUUUUAAAAUAAUACCUUGGCAGUUACUGAUGCCAUUGCCUAUCUUCUAUAGGAUACCUUAACUAGUAUAUUCUCACAACCCCAAGAUGAGACAAUAAGAACUCUUACAAUCUUGUAUGUAUACAACAAUCUGUCAUAUUGGCAAUGGAAAAAGUACAAAGGAAAAUGUCUAUAAUGAAUCCUCUUAACCAUAGCUUAGAGGUUUCAACACUUCCUUGGGAUAUGGACCAAUUUCACAAAAGUUAAGCAAACCUUAUAAAAAGAUGGAGGUAUAAAAUAGAUCCAAUAUAAAAUCCCCUUUUUACUGAAAUGAACACAAAUACAGUCAACAUUCAAGGCAAACUUUAGGAUCAUGCUAACUUGCUACAAUUAGUUUAAUUUCCUUUGAGAAACAAGAGAUGUUUUAAUUUCAUAAUAUAGAUUAAAAAGAGCUGUCUAUAAAGUUAAUGACCUCACACCUAGUCUGAAGUAUGGCUCAAUAGCAUUCAAUAACCAAGGACACUUAGUGUUACACAUUAAAAAAGAAAUAAAAGAAUCCAAGCUUACCUUCCAGCCAGACAGCUAUCAAGUUUAAUAAAAAAUAAAAGACCCUUGCAACAGUUGUUCUUUUUAUUACUUUUUUUUUCCUGGAAAAGUCACUUUAAUCAAAAGCUGAGGAAGGCCACUUCUAGAGUAUUCAUUUUUCCUGCCCAAAUUCUUUGGUUCUCCUAGGAGUUCUGCCUUUGUUUUUAAAGCUAUCUGUAGCCCAGAGAGAGAUUGGGAUAUUUCUCUGUGUCCUAUUUGAUGGAAGGUACAUCACUCUCCUGUAAAGUUCUAUAUUUAGCCAAUGGACCAUGAAUGUCUGAACUUGUCUGGGUUGCCAGCUGAUCUUUACAACACAAGCCCAGCAUCCAGAUAUGUCCAGUUCUUUAUUCUCUUUUAUUGGACUAAAAGAUAACAAAAUUAGUGAAGCACAAAAGCACAUGAGGACAUAACUGGGAGGGACAGCCACAGGAGGGGAAACAGAAAAAAAUCUUUUCCUUUCCUCUGAUGGAAUAUCAGUGUACGCUCUUCAAAUUCACAAAAUGGCUUCUUUGGAUCCAUCCUGAUAUUUUUAAAUUGAUCAACCCAUCAGAAGCAACUAACAAUUUUGCAACAUUACAAAGAAAGCAAUGGAAUAUUUUUAUUUUUAUUAUGUCUAUACAGCAUGAACUUUCUAAAAUGUAAAUGUUUGUAGCCUUAAGGUAUGUAAUAUCAAAGAUCAUAAUACUUUAAUUGACAAGAGGAAAGAUGUACAGAAGAAUACAUUUCAUUUACUUUUACUUUAGUAAAAAAGAAAACUAACAAAAAGUAAGGCAAACCUUCCUUAGAAUCACAAAGCUUGUUUAGAGACAGACUUUCUCCUGCCUUUUCAAUUAAUUGUCAGAAACUGUUUUACUUGACUCUAUAAAAUAAGAAUAUACUAGUCUUGGCAGUAUAAGCAUACACUCCCUCUUGUGUAUGAACAGUCUCACAACCCAGGGAGUUUCAAGAAAUCUCCCCUAGUAGAAGUCUUUGAAGAAAGACUUUCUUGCCCUAAAUAUUCAUGCUGGUGAAUGGACAGUAGAAGUUAGUGUAAUUUUGAAGACAGGACAAAUGGGAUGAUUGCCCCCUACUCCCUUUCACUGUUGUCUGGCCUUUCAUACAGGUAAAAAUUAAGUAAACUUCAAUUACAUAAAAGAAUUAGAUAUAAAAUAUGUGGCUAACCACAUAUUUUAUGAGUUAAAGGAUUUUGAAUCUAUUUUGUGAUCUAAUCACACUUUUAAACUUUCAGUUGUUUUACUAGUUUGUAAGCUAUUAGAAAGAUACUCAAUAAAUCUGAAUAUGAUGCUUAGGAAAAGAAAUAUCCAAAGGAAAUACUAGAGCCAUCUGUAUACAUACAAAAAGGGAAUACAAAUAUAUGUUAUCUGAAAAAGGGUUUUCAUAUUCUUCCCAACCAGAGGUUGUUCUGUCUGUCUAUGUCAACACUGCAACAAUCUUGGCUGAAGAAAUUUUUGCUUCAUUUUCGGUGCCACAGUACUGGGAGGGGAAAUGAAUGGUUUUAAGGUUAGACUAAACAAUAAAUAUGUCCCGUGGGAACCCAAGGUCAUUGCUGCCUGACUUUUAGUGAGCUGAGCCUUCCAUUAGAAUGUCAGCCAAAAUAUUCUAUUGGGGAACCUGGAUAAUUACAUAGUGCUGGGGUGGGAAGUUCAAUUUUGUAACAUGGUAACGCUUGGGAGGGAAUUCCAGACUAGUUUUCACUUCUGACUGUGCUGAUACUUUGUAGCCAAUAAAUAUGUUCUUUAAGGAAACCUCUUGCCUUGGAUUUUCUGCUUUUACUGAUCUCAUCUAUCGGAACCAAGUCAGUCAGUCAGUCAGUCAGUCAGUCAGUCUGUCUGUCUGUCUGUCUGUCUGUCUGUCUGUCUGUCUAUCUAUCUAUCUAUCUAUCUAUCUAUCUAUCUAUCUACACAGCUGUCCAUCUCACAUUUGU